AACAAGGCGUACCUGCGGACCUGCGGAGGGAUCAUUACAGAGUGUUUAACCCCCUAUAAAAUGGUGGGUCUAACCUCCCGUCCUUUGCUGGGUCCCCCUUCUGGAGGACUUUCAAAACUUUCUGCUUCGGCGGGGUAUACCCGCCGGAACACCCUCAAAAAAUUCUUGAUCAAAAUGGUUCGGUCCGAGAAACUUUUUGUGAAAAUUAGCGAAAAACUUUCAGCAACGGAUCUCAGAUCG
RNAcentral lists this unclassified non-coding RNA (240 nucleotides) under soil metagenome. RNAcentral describes it as "partial contains 5.8S ribosomal RNA, internal transcribed spacer 2, and large subunit ribosomal RNA". The record is from RNAcentral.